CCUACGGGGGGCUGCAGUGGGGAAUAUUGCACAAUGGGCGAAAGCCUGAUGCAGCAACGCCGCGUGAAGGAAGAAGGGUUUCGGCUCGUAAACUUCUAUCAACAGGGACGAAAGAAAUGACGGUACCUGAAUAAGAAGCCCCGGCCAACUACGCGGCAGCAGCCGCGGUAAUACGGAGGGGGCAAUCGUUAUCCGGAAUUACUGGGGGAAAAGGGUGAGUAGGCGGCAUGGUAAGCCAGAGGUGAAAGCGUUGGGCGUAACCCGAGGAUUGCAUUUGGAACUAUCAAGCUAGAGUACAGGAGGGGAAAGCGGAAUUCCUAGUGUAGCGGUGAAAUGCGUAGAUAUUAGGAAGAACACCAGUGGCGAAGGCGGCUUUCUGGACUGAAACUGACGCUGAGGCACGAAAGCGUGGGGAGCGAACAGGAUUAGAUACCCGUGUAGUC
RNAcentral lists this ribosomal RNA (443 nucleotides) under uncultured bacterium. RNAcentral's name for it is "partial 16S ribosomal RNA". It matches the Rfam family "Bacterial small subunit ribosomal RNA", at positions 338 to 795 of the family's 1533-position model. The record is from RNAcentral.